Long non-coding RNA from Oppia nitens, 824 nucleotides. RefSeq lists it as uncharacterized. NCBI's taxonomy places the organism in Eukaryota, Metazoa, Arthropoda, Arachnida, Sarcoptiformes, Oppiidae. The record is from RefSeq and is a predicted model, not a curated record. The transcript is spliced from 4 exons.
AGCGUUACUAUAUGUUUUAGUAUAUUAUAUUGUAUUAACUAUAAAAAAGUAUAAAAAAAACUUUGAAAAUUACUGGUUAUAUCAGUGUUUGUGUGUCUGUUAGCUGUGUAUAUAUAUGUGCUAUAAAACUUGGUUAGUAUUAGCUAACUAUGCUUAACAUUUAGUGUUAUUAUUUAGUUGGAAACGUGCCUACAGUUUGGGUGUUGGUUCACAAUCUCAUCCCAUAAACAUUUUUGUCUCUCUCAUACACAUCAAACCAUUCAACAACAAAAAAAACCUAUCAUUCAACAAUUUGGAAAUUAYUUGAAUAUCAUAAACUUUUAUAAAGAUAAUUUCGACCAAACAUUUAAUCAACAAUGCCAUUUACGUGUUCCGAUAUCUGCAAGAUUAUUUUGGCAAUUAUAUUGCCACCAUUGGGAGUGUUGGCUGAGAAGGGUUGUGGUGUCGACCUUCUCAUUAAUAUAGCCUUAACUAUACUGGGAUUCAUACCGGGAAUCAUUCACGCGCUGUAUAUUAUAUUUAAAUACUGAUGUUUGCCAUUACUCUAUGAUUUUUUAAGUAAAACGAUUACUACUAUUAUUAAAGAAAAUAAAAUUUAUUACAACAAGCCUUUGAACACACAAUCAAAAAAAAAAUGUUUUUAAAAAUCAUACAAUUAUUAUGUGUAACUAAUUUUGUUUACUCUAAUUAUAUUUGCGGCCAAUUUUUAUUGUUUGUCUCAAAAUUUAUAAAUAUAUAUUAAUGUUAUGUAUAUGUUAUUAACUAUAAUACACUGAGAAUUGAAUAUUUAUCAUGUUUAUAAAUUUACAUAAUUACGAUAUAAA